Molecule: long non-coding RNA, 749 nt
Organism: Magnolia sinica
Lineage: Eukaryota; Viridiplantae; Streptophyta; Magnoliopsida; Magnoliales; Magnoliaceae
Exons: 4
Source: RefSeq, a predicted model, not a curated record
CAUUUGUAGCUUCUGAAACUCUUUCUUAAUGUGUUUGGCCCAUGAACUUUCUUAUUGAUCACAAAGACUUGGUAUGAAGAAGGAUAUUUCACAAUAAGGAAUGAAAAAUAGCAAAGGUUUUGAUCUGUAGUGGUUUGUUGAUCCCACGUGCUUAUGUGUGUAGCCUUGCCCCUCUACAUGUCUGAACAUGUGUAUGGUGCACAUGUUGUGAACAUCCAAGUUGUCCAUCAUUCCAUCCCCUAUAGGGAGCUUUAUCGUGUUUCCAUGAUCUCUGUAUAGGUGGGGACUGUUUUGAAAUGUUACUUACAACAGACUUCGGCUGUUCUACAAGUUAUCCCAUAUGUAAAGAAGGAGCUUAUCAUGACCACUUUUAAGACAGUGGGAAGGAUGGUAUUGAUGUGUGGAGAUGGGACCAAUGAUGUUGGGGCUCUGAAGCAGGAUUUUAGCUUUAAUACAUGGAGCAUGGAUUGAACUUGAAACCGAUGAGAUUAAACAAAAAAAAGUAAAAGAAGAGGGGCAAUAUGUAGAUGAUGUCAGGUAUGUCCAUUUAGGCAAGGUAGAUGAACUUCCAUUAAGAAGUUCCAUUUCUUCUGCUCAAAUCACUGUUAUUGCUGUCAUGAGUUUCUAUUUGAUGAUUCUCUUGGAUGUCUAUGAACUUAUGCACUGGUAGGUUUUGAAAAGUUGACUUAAUGCACCGGUAAGGUUUUGAAAAGUUUUUUCUUCUCAUUGAAUUCAUAAAUCCUAAAUAA